UUUCCUUCCUUUGCCUAGCUGUAACAGAAAUUUGCAGCAGUGUAGGUAAGAGAAGGAGCUAGUUCCACGUGCCACCUCACUUGGCCAGCAAAUCUGUCUGAUCUUCCUCUUCUUAUGUUUUGCAAAUAUCUGUUUUGUUUGAGGAAAAGAUGACAGUUUUUGGGGGGAUGACAGUUUUGGGCGGAACAGGAUCAUAAAGUACACACACAGAGAAGGACAAGCUGAAUCUGCAAGAAUCCUCCAUUAUCGUUUGUGGAAGACUGCAAAAGGACAAGCAUACCCAGAUGCUGGACUAUGCUACAUGUUUCUGUUGACACUGGGGUAGCCUUAUUGAAGAUCUGAAGAACAUCACCACAGAGAUCAUGUGACUGAAGAUGGCAAUGGUGAAGUUGAGAAUUUUGGGGAACUGUCUCUUGAUAUGGUGAGGGAAAACAAGGGGCAUACAGUGGGAGGACAUCUUUUUUGCAUGCAGGUAGAUUCUAAAUCCAGCCCCUGCCUUCUCCAAGUUCAUUUGUCUUAAACCACGAUGAGCUACUAACAUUAUAGGUAAAGAAUAUUGAGAUAGAAUGGAUAAUGAUCUAUUAUAGUAGGAAAAACCUUCUAUUAUCCAUCCCAAGGUUGAGGUGCUUAUAUUCUAAACUAAUCUUGUGCCACUCUUCUUCAUACAUGAAAAAGCAUUGUGAGAAUAUUCCAGGAAGAGAAAAAAAAAUUCAGUGUCACCCAUGUCAGUUGAUGGGACAACAGUCAGAAGUCAGGAAUAGAAUCAAUCUGCUCCUUCCUCUCCACCUCUGUUGCUUAAUGUAAUUGCAGUUUCUUGGUCAAGUGGUUUAAUCUGUUAACAUUUUUAAAUCCCUCUUUAUAAACAAGGAUUGGGGAGCUUGACUUUUGAGUUUGCUUUCUCUCUCACUUCAUUGGUGCAAAAUGAGCACUGCAGGGAGAAGGGGACAGUUCAAAGCAGUUGCAUAUUAGACUACACAACAGCUUCCUGCUGCACUCAGUCCAAAAGAUGUGAGACACAGCAGGGUGAAGAGGUUCAGAAGAAAUGUGCUCUCUUGUCUCUCUUCCCUCCCAUCUUAGUUGACCUUGAAAACUGCAAGUGGGCUGCUUGAUUGGGAGAAAAAAUUCCCCUCUCAGCAACACAAUUUCUUACUGCUUUUCAUCUCCACAGGUGAAAGAGGAAGUAUUUGCAUCCUUGCUAUUACUGGUGUUUGGAGGCAAUUCAUUCCUUCUAGAGAGUUCUAAGAACUAGCAGUCCCUGAUGUCAUUAAAAUUAUCCUGUUUCUUUCAAGUUACAAUCAGGUUACACAUUUAAAAAUGUCUAUCAAAGGCCAUAGUUAAAUCCUGUAUUUCAGUACCUGAUUCACCUGUUGGGUAUUAUAGAUUACUAAUUCUAAAAACAGCCAAAUUCAUAAAGCAAUGAAUGAAUUAAUGCCAUUGUUUGCCAAAAAAACCUGAAGCAGCCUGGCUUUUGACAACAAAAUGCAUUCAAUUUAAAGAACAAGCCAACCAUCUGCAAACAUUGAUUAUUAAAAGGCAAGACGGUGCUCUUACAGGAAGCAAAGAGGCAUUGCAUGCCAUGUGUUUUUGGUUGCAAUCAUGAAAAGAAGAGUAAAAUGAUGAUGACUGGUUUGUCCUUUGUAAAAAUAUGUGAUUAGCCAUUUUUCUGGUGUUAAAAUACUUUUGUGCCCGUAGUCUUAACGAUUAUGAACUGCUCUUCUGCUCUUUCUUUCAGUAGUAAGAAAAGAGGGAAAUACUACAUGAAAAUACAGCUAGAGGAAAGUGGCUGUGCCAUGUUCUCCCCUUCUUCCCACUUUAAAGAAAAAGAGAGCUGAGCAUAACAACUCUUCUGCAAAAUCCUCUUCUGAGAACCACCCUGAGAUAACAGGAAAGGGGUACACUUUAAUUUUGAAAAUAGAUCACCACAUGGUGGUGCUAUAGGCAUGAAGAAUGCUUCUAAGAAGGUACAAAGGUAUUACACUUCAAGAACCUAAAUGAGAAUCUAGGGAAAUCCUACUGUUAACAUGUAACCAUUGU
Long non-coding RNA from Anolis sagrei ordinatus, 2034 nucleotides. RefSeq lists it as uncharacterized. The record is from RefSeq and is a predicted model, not a curated record. Lineage: Eukaryota; Metazoa; Chordata; Lepidosauria; Squamata; Anolidae.